Myotis brandtii (Brandt's bat) is the source of this 136-nucleotide long non-coding RNA. RefSeq lists it as uncharacterized. The record is from RefSeq and is a predicted model, not a curated record. Lineage: Eukaryota; Metazoa; Chordata; Mammalia; Chiroptera; Vespertilionidae. The transcript has 3 exons.
AGGCAGAGGGUGGGGGAGGCAGAGGGACCAAGUCCCGGGCUUGAAUAAAAGACUCUAUGCUUUUGCAUUGGACUCGGCUCCCUAGUGGUCUGUCUUGGGGGAUUUUGAAAUCUGGGCAUAACAAUGAAAAGGAAAA